AAACAGCAGCCAUUUCUGAUCUUUAUUUACUAAAUGAAAACACAAAUGGCAGCCGCGGAUUUUUGGCUUGGUGCCAGGGAGGCAGCGUCGGGGGAUGGGGCCGCGUUAAGCUCUGAUCUGAGAAGCCGGCAGUCAAAGCGGUCCAUGUAGACGAUGUCGAAGGGCACGACUUUCAGCAUGGGCUGGGCUUCGAGUCCCAAAGCCAAGCCUUUCUCAGUAAUUACUCCCAAACUCUACUACCUGAAGUCCAAUUUAGGUUCUUCAGCAGAAGGAUUUUAGUUUGUUUCCAAGAAUGAGAAACUUUGUGUCUGCCAGUGAUGAAGGGACUGGUUUAGAACAUCUUAUGGUCAGAACGUUUCAAAGAUUAUCAUCUAUUGCAACUUCUCGCCAAGGGCAAGAAUCUCUCUUGAAACAUCUGACAAUUGAUGCUGUAGGAGUUCACCAUCGCACGUGUUCAGAUAAUUGGGUUGAAAGGGAACAACUGAAUUUCUGGAGCCACAGAACAAGGCCUUCGUUCCUCCACUCUGUCGACAUGAGUUGUUCUUCUGGGGCCUUCAUCCUCUGUCAUUCGUCCAGUGAGGCAGGUGCAUGGGAGCCCCAUCAUUGGCCUGAAGCUGUAAAAUGCAAGGUUCACCCACAGGUGUAAGCCGAAUAGAGAAGAUAACUUUCUGAAACUGAAGGAAGUUGGAAGGAGAGGUGAGGGCUAACACGAGCAUCUCUGCAGUGAAAGGCAGGGCGAGAGGAACCUUCCCUAUUCUCACUGAUAGACACUGAAGAGAGGCCACCAUGUGAUAAAGGAACCACCUUUGCCAUCAUCUCCUUGUUGAAAUUGAAGAAAUGAAAUGAGCGCUGACGGAGGUUCAGUGUGACGAUGGCAGCGAAGGUGUCAGAUGGACAGUGAAGCGAAGUGCCUGCGCAGCACGAGGUGGGGAGAAGGUAUCCGAGUGGGUACGGGAGCCUGGGGUCAGGCCUGUCCCGACCACUGACGCGCUCAGGAAGCAUAGCACACAACUUCCCCUUUCUGGGGCAGACUUCAUAUCUCAUUAAAGCGGAUGAAACAGCUCAGCUUGACAGAGGCAGCUGGGCUUCAUGUCACACUGAGAACAGCUCGCAUCCCACCGCCAAGCCCGUGGGCAGCCCGCAGCCAACAGCUGCACAGCCUUCCAGUUGGGCCCCGGCUCUGCCCUUUGGGUCACUUUUUCCAGCUCAGUCACAAUGAAAUGUCUCCUUCUUCCAUAUAAACCUGGGGCUGUGCCCCCGCCCGCCUCUCCCAUCACCCACACUUCCCCCAGGUCCUAAAACAAGCCACUUCCUCAAGACUGGAGGCCCACCUUAGCAAGUGUGAGAGCUACGCUGAUAACUAACUAGGAGGCUAAUUGAAAAUAUUUUGGAGUUUGCCUGCUAGAUCUGUCAAAUCAAGUAAAAAAUCAUUCUUAUCUACCCUAACCAGCAGUUAUGCAAAUCUGCCAAUGGCAUUAAUUAAAGGACUUCCUUACUUCUCAGAGCAUUUAUCAUAAAUGAGGAACAGGAACUUUCAGGGGCCUAUUUCCUUCUCUCCAGCAGCCAUAGCCCCAUCUGGAUUAAUGCUACAUGGGCAGAGUCUUACCCUGCAAGGCGGGGGAUUUGACUCCUUGUGAGCAGACAUUUGAGUUCUGUAUUUGUGGGGCACUGUGUGUUUACCAGGUGUCAGGUCAGAUGGGCUAGGCUGUCCUCCACGUGAACCUUCAGAUUUCUCACAUCAUUCCUUGAGCUUUCAACCUUGACCCUUUGUGGUGGGCAGAGUGGAUGCGCACGGAGCAAUUUUACAUCCAUUAUCCUUUUUGACUUUCAGAACAGCUCUGUGAUGUUGGUCUUUAUCCCUGCGCUGCAGAUGAGAAAGUUUGGACUGCCUUGCUGUAAAACAGAGUUGACCAAAAUUUUUGUAAAUAUUUUUUACAGUAAAUAUUUUAGGCUUUGUGGGCUGUAAGGUCUCUGUCACAACUCUCCACUCUGCCAUUGUAGCAAGAAAGCAGAUAUAGACACUGAAUAAACAAAUAGACAUGACUGUGUUCCCAUAAAACUUUCUUUACAAAAACGGGUGGUGGGCCAUAGUUUUCUGACCGCUGCUGUAAAGCACUGAGAUUGUUGGGGGAAAAAGAUAUGUUUGAUAAAUAGAAAACUUUAAUGAGGGGAUUCGUUAUAAGCUCAAUAAAUAUUACUGAGCAUUCACUCUGUGUCCGGCACUGAAAGGAAAACAGAUAAAUCCAAGAGCUCAUAGUAUGUUGGGGGAAAUAUCUACAUGAAUUCACAUCACUGUCGUGUAAGGCCCAGAGUGCUCAGGGCCAUUAGAGGAGGCAAAUGGGACUCAGAAUCCAGAACAUCUGGAACAUGAAGGAGCUAUCCGGAGGAGGUUACGUGUUAGCUGGACUUUGAAGAACAACUACGAUGGAACACGAAGCCUUGACCGUGGGGCCGGGGAAGACGUACUUGUUGGAAGGUCAGCAUGAUCCAUCGUGUUUCCCCUCCUCAUCCUGCUCCUCCAAUCAAUAGAGACCAGGUACUGACAGCCUCAAAUGUGGAAAUGUCCGGGAUUUCUCCUGAGCCCUGAAGAGCCCUGGUGUCCCAACACCCCAGGAAUUGGACAGAGAAUUCUACAGUUGCCUUCGGUCUAGAUCGUGACAGACGCAGAUACUCACCUGCUUUGAUCACUGACUGUGCCCAGAAAAGCGCCUGGCUCCUAAUGCAACUGAAUAUGUAUUUGUGGAAUAAAUGAGUGUAUAUUUUAGAAAAAUCACUCUGGUAACAAUUUGGAAAAUAGACUUGAAGGGAAGAAAUCCGUGCUUUUAGAAAGUUCUCUCUGGCUAGAUGGUGCAGUGUGGAUUGGACACAGAAACCCCACAGUCUCUUGGAACACCAAACCCUGCAGGCUGUUCGAUGAGGUGAAUUCCACAUGAUUAUAGCCUAGAAGUGGCUUGGAAGCUUUCUUCACUGAGUCCGACAGACUCAGGAUCUCAUGAAUGCAGCCUCUACUGGAAGACGUUGCACAAACGCAAUGUUCCUUGGGUGCUGAAUGUAUGUGAAUUUAUGGCGCAUGUAGUUUGCAUUUUCCUAUUAAACGGGGAACAUGUAAACAGGGCAGGUCUUCACUCAAAACAUUAUGAGACUUGCUCCAGUUUCUCCCUAACCAGAGGGUAAUUUUCUGGAAGUCAGGGCCACCUUGUGUCUCCAGAGACCAGAGGAGAGCUGAACUGAAGAGUCUGAGACAGAGCUGCAGCAAAGCCUCAGGAGCUUCCUCAGUUCUGUGCUUUUAUUAGAGAGCGGAACAGCGACCACCGUGUGGGCGGAGCAGGUCAGCUGGGACUACAUCCAAAGGAACGGCUCUGCUGCUCAAGACGUUACCAGAAUCCUAAGGUGCUGAGGGGAGGUUUCAGCGUGGCUAAAAUUCGGAAAUUGCUGAGUUCAUGCAGAAGAAUGAAGACUCAAGUCCACAGGUCCAGGGCUAGCAAGAGACGAAACCAGGGGUAGGGUCAAUGGCUUCAUAGCUGUGAGACCACUGAUACGUGCUCUUCCUUUGAAGGACGUCUUCAGCCUCAGCUGCUUUUAUCUUUUAGGUUUCUAUGGCGCAUCUCAUUGUCCUGAUCCUGAAAACGGGGAUUUGGGCACUUAAUGGGAGUUUCAUGCAGUGAAAACAUUUCUGAGUCCUCUAAGCAGAGGCACACCUUUGUUAAUGUCCAUGUCCUCAGUUAAGCCAGGGCCGGUUCCUCUAGUGGGACUGGAGGUUCAGUAAUGGGGACAAUAUCCACAGCAACCCUGGAAUACUGUAUUCCACAGGUGGCAGUGGGGGUUAUGGGAGAAAUGUCUUCUUAGGAAGAGUUUUUCCUCUCCAGGACAGGGCCAGAAAAUGAGGCCUCCAAUUAAUUAAGUUUAAGGAUUCUAAUUUAACAUUUGGGGGACACUGGUUCUUAAACAUGGAAUGGGACAAAGCACCGCAACAGUACAAGAAGCCUGUGCUCAUCAUGGAGCGUUGACAGCAUUAGAUAUUACUUUGGUCCAGGACCCAGGAAAACAUAAAUUCUGUCAUGCUCAGUCUCUUCUUUUCCUUAUUAUGUAUUUACAAAGAUAUAUGUUUACACAGAACAAAGGCAAAUUCACAUUUUAUUGUUAGCUGGGGUUGAGACCCAAUCCAAUGCAGAGAACGUUGGCUGCCGGGCUGGAGCACUUUCCUCCCCGUUUAGAACGCAAGAGCUUCAGUCAAGGGUCAAUCCAACAUGCUGGUUAACCCAAGGGCAAAGAUAAGCAGAGAGAAAGAGACUCUUCCACGUGCCACGCUGGCCUAAACGCCUGGACUGUUGCUGUUAAAUUGAUCCGUUUUUUAUUUUAUG
Molecule: long non-coding RNA, 4361 nt
Organism: Equus caballus (horse)
Lineage: Eukaryota; Metazoa; Chordata; Mammalia; Perissodactyla; Equidae
Source: Ensembl